GCAGCCGCCGCGGUAAUACGGAGGGUGCAAGCGUUAUCCGGAUUUAUUGGGUUUAAAGGGUCCGUAGGCGGAUCUGUAAGUCAGUGGUGAAAUCUCACAGCUUAACUGUGAAACUGCCAUUGAUACUGCAGGUCUUGAGUAAAUUUGAAGUGGCUGGAAUAAGUAGUGUAGCGGUGAAAUGCAUAGAUAUUACUUAGAACACCAAUUGCGAAGGCAGGUCACUAAGAUUUAACUGACGCUGAUGGACGAAAGCGUGGGGAGCGAACAGGAUUAGAUACCCGCGUAGUCCCUGUCUCUUAUAC
This 302-nucleotide ribosomal RNA is filed under the name uncultured bacterium. Its description in RNAcentral is "partial 16S ribosomal RNA". It matches the Rfam family "Bacterial small subunit ribosomal RNA", at positions 508 to 807 of the family's 1533-position model. The record is from RNAcentral.